UGCCGAGUAGUGUAAUGGUAGCACUAGAGACUUUGAAUCUCUCAGUUCAGGUUCGAGCCCUGGCUCGGCAGCCA
This 74-nucleotide transfer RNA is filed under the name Chloroflexota bacterium. RNAcentral describes it as "tRNA-Gln". It matches the Rfam family "tRNA". From Rfam's summary of the family: Transfer RNA (tRNA) molecules are approximately 80 nucleotides in length. Lineage: Bacteria; Bacillati; Chloroflexota. The record is from RNAcentral. RNAcentral also lists the same sequence under 2 other names.